GUUGACGUAUUCUGAAAGGGAUACUUCUUCGGACAAUAUACAAGGUGCUGCAUGGUUGUCGUCAGCUCGUGCCGUGAGGUGUCGGGUUAAGUCCCAUAACGAGCGCAACCCCUAUCAUUAGUUGCCAUCAGGUCAAGCUGGGGACUCUAAAGGAACUGCCUACGCAAGUAGUGAGGAAGGCGGGGAUGACGUCAAAUCAGCACGGCCCUUACGUCCAGGGCUACACACGUGCUACAAUGGCCGAUACAGAGGGCAGCUACCUGGUGACAGGAUGCAAAUCUCCAAAGUCGGUCUCAGUUCGGAUCGGAGUCUGCAACCCGACUCCGUGAAGUUGGAUUCGCUAGUAAUCGCGCAUCAGCCAUGGCGCGGUGAAUACGUUCCCGGGCCUU
RNAcentral lists this ribosomal RNA (389 nucleotides) under uncultured Sphingobacteriales bacterium. Its description in RNAcentral is "bacterial SSU rRNA". It matches the Rfam family "Bacterial small subunit ribosomal RNA", at positions 990 to 1382 of the family's 1533-position model. Lineage: Bacteria; Pseudomonadati; Bacteroidota; Sphingobacteriia; Sphingobacteriales. The record is from RNAcentral.